Long non-coding RNA from Sitodiplosis mosellana (orange wheat blossom midge), 518 nucleotides. RefSeq lists it as uncharacterized. The record is from RefSeq and is a predicted model, not a curated record. The transcript has 2 exons. NCBI's taxonomy places the organism in Eukaryota, Metazoa, Arthropoda, Insecta, Diptera, Cecidomyiidae.
UUGAAAAAGGGAAAUGUUCAUUUCAAUGAAUUAUUUUUGAAGAAAAGGAGAUUAACAAAGCAAAGAUUGACUUUAACUAUUGGGUGUAGAAAUAAGUUUUGAGGGAUUUUUGCCAGAUGGCGGAACUUGUAUUAUAUCGCAUCUGGCCAUACUGUAACUAUAUUCACGUCGAAGCCACGUCAAGUGACACUAGUUUUCAGUAUGUGUCAAAUUGCCAAAGUGUAAACAACAUAAUUUUUUUCGCCUUCAAUCAUGUCAACAUACGUGCCAAAAAAACAGCAUUUGCGGGAAGUUUUACUUUUCCUCUAUAAUUCGAAGAAAAAGCGGAUAUCCUUGCAUCAAGUGUGCACUAAUAAUGAAGAUUGAACCAUUCUCGAUAGAGUCAAGCAGAAAAAACCAUUCUUAGAUCGCUGCUCCUUGUCACUAUAGAGGGCGCUCAGAACCACAAAAAUUUGACCCAUGACACAAAAAAGUCGUUUUUUCGCGAAAAAUGGUUCAGUGACAUUUCAUAGAACAAA